AGGGUUUUGGCUUAAAGUCUGACUGUAUGAGGGCAUGUCAAGAAGAGCUGGACUGAGUGCCCAUGACCUCAGGGACAUCUUGGAAGCUAUAUGUAGAAGAUGGAAAAGCCUCUGUCAUCUCCAUCAAUUUAAUCUCCAAAUAACUACUUAGAAAAGGGACAGCUUACUAACUCCUUCAUUGCCCAGUACUAUUAGCUAAAAACAUUAUAACAGGAGAUUCAAAUUCUACAUGGUGGGAGCAAAAGUGGAUCUUGUUUUUCUAUAGCAACAUGGUUGACCUUCAUAGUGAAGUUUGAAUCUGACAGCAUUCAUGCUCAAAUGUCCAAGCCCUGCAUUUCUGAUACCAUGGAAUCACAAGCACGCUGUGUGAUACUGUGCAGCAUUUGAUCCUGCCUGACUUCUGUGUCUCAGCCUAUCAACGAAGAUAUUUAUAGCUGCCUUAUGCCAACGUACUUUUUAAAGCUGGGUAAUACCAGUGUAAGAUGGUCACAUUUAUCUUGAAAGCCGAGGUAGGGUACCAUGUGUGCUCC
RNAcentral lists this long non-coding RNA (530 nucleotides) under Homo sapiens (human). Its description in RNAcentral is "long intergenic non-protein coding RNA 2380". Lineage: Eukaryota; Metazoa; Chordata; Mammalia; Primates; Hominidae. The record is from RNAcentral.